Molecule: long non-coding RNA, 620 nt
Filed under: Cottoperca gobio
Lineage: Eukaryota; Metazoa; Chordata; Actinopteri; Perciformes; Bovichtidae
Description: lncRNA (ENSCGOG00000019910.1)
Source: RNAcentral
UGAUGUAUCAAACAGACAGACAAAGACGUGAUUGUGGAAACACCUGCAUCUACCUUGUUUGAAGGAGAACCAGUGACUCUGCGCUGUAGGCAUCGUACCCCGAGAGAGGGGCAGGAUGCCGUCUUCUACAGAGACGGAUCACCUAUUGAAGUGGACACAAACCAUCAGUCACCCAUGAGAUCAACAAACACAGUUCAAGUGACGUCAGAUCGGAGCUCUUACAUGUGUAAAUUUGAGGACGAAGAAUCUGAAGCAAUAACUCUGAAAAUGGAACCACAACCAAAGGCCCAACUGAGCCAAGACGAUCAUGUCGGGGGCAACGUGACCCUGACCUGCUCUGUGAAGACAUCAUCUUCAUCUGGUUGGAAAUACUUCUGGUACAGAGGCAAGAAAGCCUCUGAAGCCCUGACCACACAGGGUGUGGUCUUCCACUCAGAUGCAAAGAUCAGUGUCUCAGAAGGAGGACUCUACUGGUGCAGAGGAGGAACAGGAGACCCCGUUUACUACACAGAGUACAGCCAUUCAGCCGGUAAAGAAGAAAUCUGCUCUUUGUUUGAAUUAAAAUUAAAGGCUUAAGUAAACACUUGCAACAAAAGACACCUAAACAUGAACUUAAAAUA